UCCUAUUAACAGACACUCAAGAAGAUGUAUUUGACGGACAAUUUGUCGACCACUCAUUUAGGUUGUUGACCGUUUGAUAGAUGAAGGAAGAACGGACAGAACCGAUUCCGAUGGAGUGCUGUACUAUGAAUGGCAUGACAAAUGCUAUCUUGGUGCAGCUCAUGGAAUAUCUGGAAUUAUGUACAUUCUCCUGAAGGCUCACUCAUUUCUGGAUUCAGCACAGAUUACAUAUGUUCGAAAGACUGUAGAUUGGCUCCUAGGUCAAUGUUUUUCUUCCGGAAAUUUGAGAUCAUCACUAGGGUCCAAAGAUGAUAAAUUGGUUCAUUGGUGUCAUGGAGCUCCUGGUGCCAUAUAUAUGUUCCUGGAAGCUUACAAAUUAUUUGGUGACAACCAAUAUCUAAAUGCCGCGAUUCAGUCGGCUGAUGUUAUUUGGAAGAGGG
Bradysia coprophila is the source of this 440-nucleotide long non-coding RNA. The record is from RefSeq and is a predicted model, not a curated record. Lineage: Eukaryota; Metazoa; Arthropoda; Insecta; Diptera; Sciaridae.